AUUGAACGCUGGCGGCAUGCCUUACACAUGCAAGUCGAACGGUAACGGGCCUUCGGGUGCCGACGAGUGGCGAACGGGUGAGUAAUGUAUCGGAACGUACCUUUCAGUGGGGGAUAACGUAGCGAAAGUUACGCUAAUACCGCAUAUUCUGUGAGCAGGAAAGCAGGGGAUCGCAAGACCUUGCGCUCUGGGAGCGGCCGAUGUCGGAUUAGCUAGUUGGUGGGGUAAAGGCCUACCAAGGCGACGAUCCGUAGCGGGUCUGAGAGGAUGAUCCGCCACACUGGGACUGAGACACGGCCCAGACUCCUACGGGAGGCAGCAGUGGGGAAUUUUGGACAAUGGGCGCAAGCCUGAUCCAGCCAUGCCGCGUGAGUGAAGAAGGCCUUCGGGUUGUAAAGCUCUUUCGGCCGGGAAGAAAUCGCAUGGGUCAAUACCCCGUGUGGAUGACGGUACCGGAAUAAGAAGCACCGGCUAACUACGUG
This 482-nucleotide ribosomal RNA is filed under the name uncultured bacterium. Its description in RNAcentral is "bacterial SSU rRNA". It matches the Rfam family "Bacterial small subunit ribosomal RNA", at positions 30 to 507 of the family's 1533-position model. The record is from RNAcentral.